Molecule: ribosomal RNA, 281 nt
Filed under: uncultured bacterium
Lineage: Bacteria
Description: partial 16S ribosomal RNA
Rfam family: Bacterial small subunit ribosomal RNA
Source: RNAcentral
AACGAACGCUGGCGGCAUGCCUAACACAUGCAAGUCGAACGAGACCUUCGGGUCUAGUGGCGCACGGGUGCGUAACGCGUGGGAAUCUGCCCCUUGGUUCGGAAUAAACAGCGAGAAAUUGCUGCUAAUACCGGAUAAUGACGUAAGUCCAAAGAUUUAUCGCCAAGGGAUGAGCCCGCGUAGGAUUAGCUAGUUGGUGUGGUAAAAGGCGCACCAAAGGCGACGAUCCUUAGCUGGUCUGAGAGGAUGAUCAGCCACACUGGGACUGAGACACGGCCCAG